This is a long non-coding RNA of Solenopsis invicta (red fire ant), 4438 nucleotides long. RefSeq lists it as uncharacterized. The transcript has 3 exons. NCBI's taxonomy places the organism in Eukaryota, Metazoa, Arthropoda, Insecta, Hymenoptera, Formicidae. The record is from RefSeq and is a predicted model, not a curated record.
AAACUUUACAGUUUCAUUGUGUAUAUUAUAUUGAUUAUAUUAAUCAGGCUUUAUAUAUCCUGGCUAUAUAUAUCGAAUAGUAGUGUGCUAUUCCGAAGAAAAGAGAUAUUUUUAGAGAUUAAAAAUACUUUGCGACAGAAAGAGGUCGUGAUCACUGGUCGAUCUGAGUUAUCAUGUUUAAACGUGAUUUAAAUAAAAAAAAAAAACCGACUUAUUUUAGUAAUUAUCGCACGUGUUAAAUUCCUCACAUUCCAUUGAAGCCACUGUCGAUUGUUUUAUUAGCGCAAUCAUCCGGGUCAAUCGAAAGUCCUUGGCAUAUGCAUUUGCAAGCGUAAUUGAGAGACAUGAGAUAUACCGCACGCGGCACGUUAUUAUAAAUCCGUUCUAUCAGCUCAAUUACAUGUAUGGAACCGUUCAGCAUUCGACCUUUCAAAAAAGAAGAUUGUACUUUCAGUCUCACUCAUUUCGGAAACACGCACUAUUUUUAGCUGGCGCUAAAUGUAGAAAAAGAGAAAGCAGAAGAGAUCAACUUCAUUUUUAUUUUUUUACCAGAAAAAAAACGUCAGGUAUAUAAUUUCAAAAAGCAAUAUAUUCUCUUUAUAAUUGGCGCAAUUUAAAGAUUUCAUACUUUUUUUUUUAAGAAAAUAAAUAUUAUUUAGGUUGAAUUAGAUUACUCAAUUUUAAAAUAUUAUUUAUUUUUAAGUAAAUGCUACUUGGGUUGGCAUAAGAUUUUUCAACAAGGAUAUAAAAGGAUAGUACUACUCGCGUUUUAUGAAAAAAUGAAAGGUACUAACCAUUUGGGUUGAAAUAAGAAGAUUUUUCAAUGACAAUAUAGAGAUAGUACCAUUUAAGUUUUAUAUAAAAAUUAAAAAUAAUACCAAUUGAGUUGUGUAGAAGAAUGAAAGAUACUGCCACUUGAGUUGGAAUAGAAAAAUUUUUUUGAAACGUUGGUUUUUUUUAGUAUUUAUUCAAGUCAUUAUGCUAUUUCGUUGAUUUCAUUUAUUUAAACGCAUCGUACCAUGCAAUUUCUCUGUCUCAAAGUCUGUGUAAUCUCCAAUGACAUUUUAAUUCUGCAAUUCACGUAAUUAGUAACUUUCAAUUUAUUAUCGAGUGUGAAAUCUAAAUUCUUUACGAUGGUUAACGCAAAUGAAAAUAUCGUCAGAAACUUCUCGUUCGGAACGCUGUCUCUUCAAAAUUCGCCUGUAAGCAUAACGAGGUAGCCAGUCUCUGUUUUUGCUAAGUCAGCUUAUUGCGUUCACCUCGCGCGACGCUUCUACCACGCUUUAAUCGCCAGUGCAGUUCUAUCAGCUACAAUAAGAAUAACGUUUAAUAAACUGUCACAUUUAAAUAAAGUGAUUGUAUUGUCGCGCCUGAACGAACACAGAGCGGAAUUAACAAAAUAUGCAAAAUUUGUUACGUCAACGUGGGUUAUUUAUUCCUGAUAACGGAUCCAAGAAUCAUCAGUCCUGGGCAAACUGGAGUAAAAGCAAUAAGAAUCUAUGAUGUUUUUGCAACAAGAACUAGUAGUACACCAUCGGUACAGAAGAUUGCUCACAUCCGAUUCUACGAGCACCGAAUCCAGCAAAUCUGAGAUGACAAUAACGUUGCCUAUGACAAUGACGUAGCCGCGAAGUCGCUUUUAACUGACGCCGAGCACCCUACAACUAAUGACUCUUUACCUCUAGAACAUGAGCCAGCCGAAACUAAACGGUAAAUAUUGUAAAGAAUAAAAAUAAUGUUUGACAUCUUCCCGAGAUAAUCUAACGUUCUGCUUAUGAAAAGUACGUGUACAAAUGAAUCAAUGUGUCGGUAUUAAUGAUUUCGUUAUCAAUAUAAACUGCUCAAUUACAGAUAAGCAUGUGGAGAACCGUCAAUCCCUAACCCAUGGGGAUGAUUUUUGGAUACAGGCCGAAUAAGUCACAUUAUUCGGCCUGUGUCCAACAAUGAUCCUCAAUUUGAUUGCCUAGUACUGAGAACAAAAACUAAGAGAUGUUUCUAAGGUUUCCUGAGUACAAACGAGCGCAACAAACGACAACAACGUCUCAGGAAAAUUGUGAUUGUCCUGAGUAUAAUUUUUGCAUCAUUACUAAUAGACCUUCCGCACGAGCGGACUCUCCCGUUCUCGUUAUGGAAAAACCAGUGGAGGAAACCUACCCUAGCAAACACUUUGGUGUUUGCAAUUCUUGCGCCAAAAGUGACGUGGCCGGUUAUUAUCAAUUGUGCGACCAACAGUACAUUACAACCCUACUCAUUAUAGAAAUAACAACGAACUUCAAGAAACAUUUUGCCACGUGGAAGAAUUUUACAAUUACGUUUUGAACAAAUUUUAGAAUAAGAAUCCUUUGAAUACAGAUUUCUAUAACGGAAACUUCAAAUGAUAUCACUUCAAUCGAUCCUGAUGAUAUAUAUCAUGCAUUGACUAUCGAUAUUUGUAUAAAAUAUAUUAUUAGGAUCGAUUAAAGUCGAUGACAACAAAUGCAGAUGCAAUUUUUAGACGACUGAUCGUAAUGGUUUCGAUCGGAGAAGAAUGAUAAUAAUUGUAAUAUACAGUUUUCAUGUUCUAGAUAGACCUGAAAAGCUAUUAUUGUGCCGAAGACUAUGUAUUGCACGCAACUACCUUUGAGCGAAUCAAUUUUCAGCCUAUGCAUCGCAAUCUAUAAAUACUUGUUACUUUAAUAUUAUUUCAUGUUUUAACCUUUCAGAAACACAUUUCUAAUAUUUUACGUUUUAAACGUUUAAAAACUGAUUUUUUGAAGUUCUAGAGUAGAAUACUCCUUUAAGGAAGCAAGUCCCUUUGAAAAAUCAAAACAUCGACUUUUUUAAUUGCAUUUUAGAAAAUACAUAUUUUCAAGAAUUUACCCUUGAAUUUUUAUCGAAAAAUUUGAAAAAUUACAGAAGUUGUAGCAUUUUAUUCGAAGCUGCAGCGCGCAGGUCAGAAUCAGAACACACUCACUAGGUCUACGCAUAAGUUUGCCGAAGUCUUUUCAAUACAAUGAUUGUUGUAAUGGUUAUAAAAUGAAGAUUGCUAUUCAAAUUGAGAGAAAUUUAUUCAAUAAUUGAUAUAAAAAUAUUGUCAAACACAUCGAGAUCCGUUACGACCAAAAAAAUGGCACUUAUUUUUUUGUAUUAUUCGGUCUAAUAUCUAACUUCUGGGUUCGAAUCUUAGCUAAAUGUCAUCUUUUCUAGCUAGUGUUAUCUUUUUUUAAUAAAAAAAUUCUUUACACUUUUUCAGGAAGGGGAAGUUCUAUAUAUUUCUGAGAGCAUCAAAAUUAUUAAAUUGCUCGUAAAUUUAAUAAUAUUAUUUAUUCCAGUAUCUUGCAAUAACUAUUGUUUCAAGUCCGUUGAAAAUGUGGCGCGCAAUUUGCAUAAACCAAAGAUCGUAAAAAUUAGUAUAAUUUAGCACUAAGUCACUUUGCUGUGACUGAUAUAAACCGUCUCAUAUGUUUAACAUUUUUAUCGGUCCAAAUUUCAAACUCAUUGUUAACAUCCAACUUAUUAUUAAAUAUUAUUAAUACAAUAAAAUUGUACAAUAUAUGAUUAACGAAAAAUAAAUAUAUAGAACAAUAUUUACAAAAAAGUUUGUCUAUUCAUUAAGGACGUGUCAAUCUAACAAAUUGUAACGAGAGAACUGUAUAUAGUUUAGAGCGAGCGACUAAAGGCUUGCUACACCUUGCAGAUCAGGACUCACGGAUAAUCAUCUAUCGGGCGAAAUAUGGGUAACAAAAUAGUCAGAGUGCCGAUGCCAUUUCUCUAUCCGGUUUCUUUAUAUACCCGACGACUUUACGUUACCCGCGACAAAAGUCUUCGCCGCGAGUGUCGCCAAGGCAACAACCAAAUACUUUUGUCGAUCGACUAGAGUCGACCGUCCACCGGGAGAUCAUGAGCGCCGAGAUAGUCGACUGUGGGGGAAAAGGAGGAUAACGCACGCGAGUUUGUGGGUCAUUCGCAUUCGGUCGAGCCGGGUGCUACAGCACGGAGCACCGUGGAAACGUACCAAUGAACUCCACGCGAAUAGGUUGUCAGGAGCACGAAAGAGUCGUACGUCUAUCUCGUUGGAUGCGCGUAACCAUUCGGACUGUCCCCUGCACGCUGCGUGCAUUGCUUACGUGCAAUCGACGAAUCGCUUGUCUGUGCGUCUGCGUUAAGGAGACAGCUAUUAUAAUGUAGCUCCAUUCGUCGCUUAUCGUCGAAUUAUCGCUCGCUCGAUCGCGAGGCGAGCGCUGCCCUUCGAACUUCGAUCGCUCGAGUGAUUCUCCAGAGCACGAAAGUAAAGGCUCGUCUCUUAGAAUACCAACCUCGGUAUCUAUCUCAAUGUCUUAACUUUCUCGUUUCAAAUUAUAAAAUAAUCGGGCUGAGGAUCUCUCUUGGGGUUUCCGACUUGUGCACUCCGUGACCCUUCGUUCUCCAUUAAUGACGGUUUUGAUCGGGGAAAAAAAAA